Molecule: ribosomal RNA, 253 nt
Filed under: uncultured bacterium
Lineage: Bacteria
Description: partial 16S ribosomal RNA
Rfam family: Bacterial small subunit ribosomal RNA
Source: RNAcentral
UACAGAGACUGCAAGCGUUAUUCGGAUUCACUGGGCGUAAAGGGUGCGCAGGCGGCCAAGUGUGUUAGGCGUGAAAGCCCGGGGCUUAACCCCGGAAUUGCACCUAAAACUACAUGGCUAGAGCAUCGGAGAGGGUAGCGGAAUUCACGGUGUAGCAGUGAAAUGCGUAGAUAUCGUGAGGAACACCAGAGGCGAAGGCGGCUACCUGGACAAUUGCUGACGCUCAGGCACGAAAGCGUGGGGAGCAAAAGGG